CCAGGGCUUUGCUUCACUGUGUCUGGCCCCGCCCACCAUAGUCUGAGUAGUCUGCGUGUAUCAGGCCAGUUUCCUCUUCCUGCUCCCUUACUGGUCCUCAUUGUGACUGCCCUGGGCUGCCUGCUCCCACCUCACUGUCCCAGGGUCGGCUCCUGCUCUUCAGGAAGGAGCAGUGAAUCAACACAUUUUAUUGGGAGGAAGAAGAGGUGGUAGACUGGGUGAUAGGAUGGGACAGGAAGACACAUGUCAGGGACCCAGCAGAUCUUCUUCAACACAUGGGACAUAUGAAUGAAAGGCAAAAUGUGUCGCUUCAGACAUCUCUGUGAAGACAUCAACGAUAUUCUUCUCCCCAUCGUACCAUCAAUAUGGACCAACAAUUACUGCUUCAACUUCUUUGGAUGGUCUCCUGUCCUUGACCAGAAAGUUUAUCAUCCCUUCAGACUUGAUAAGAAGAUUGCAUCCUAGAAAGAAGAUUCCAAAUAUGACUGUCAGGGACAGGACACACAUUACUGCUAUCUGGACCACUCUCAUGAUAAAGAGGUUCCUCUCGUCCGUAGAGGGUACUUCAAACCCAUCAUCUGUUACCACUGAUGCCUGGGUGCAGCAUCCCAGUAUGCUGCCUAAAGAGUUGCUGCUGUUUGUGAGCAGGAAUACAGCAUCUGUCUGGUUCAUGAUCCCAAACUUCUAUUGUAGUAGCAAAAAGUUGAACAGGUGGUCCAGCUGGAACUGGCAGGAAAAAAAAAUUAAAGAAAAGAACCCAUUAAUCAUUGGAUUUGUGUUCUCCUCCCUCUCCUGCUAUUUCAGCACUGAGGCUUGUUAUGUUAUAACAAAGAAUAAAGCUGUUUAGUUUCCUCACAGUC
Molecule: long non-coding RNA, 860 nt
Organism: Pseudophryne corroboree (corroboree frog)
Lineage: Eukaryota; Metazoa; Chordata; Amphibia; Anura; Myobatrachidae
Exons: 3
Source: RefSeq, a predicted model, not a curated record